Molecule: long non-coding RNA, 943 nt
Filed under: Lactuca sativa (garden lettuce)
Lineage: Eukaryota; Viridiplantae; Streptophyta; Magnoliopsida; Asterales; Asteraceae
Description: long non-coding RNA (LSAT_LNC001080)
Source: RNAcentral
AAAAAUAAGCGUCAAAAGUAAAGUAUGAGAUAAGUCUGAUAUCUUUACAUAAAGUUGUAGUGGUCGAAAUGAGGUUUCCGAAUAUAUAAAGAAUGCCAAAAUCCGAGUUAUAACGAAGAAGUUAUGACCUAUUAAAGUUUCGCGACAGAACCGGCACGACCCAGUGCGACCCAGUGCGACGUAAAUAAUGAAUUUAAGGUAGAUAGAUAUCUAUCCUUAGUGAUCUAAAUGAGAAUUGAAGAUCUCAUCGAUAGUAGUGCAACGACGGAAAGACAGACGAAAACGGAGUUUAGAUGAAGGAGUUAUGAAUUUCGAACGGAGUUUUCCUGUCCUGGCCUACUAAAGAUAAUAUAUAAGUAAUAUACUUAUAAUAUAUUAAAAAUAAAGUCAAAAUUAGCCAAUGGAGUCUAAACGAGAGUUGUAGAGCAUAAUCUCACCUUCGCGGCGAUAUAAAGAACGUCGAAAACGGAGUUCGUAUGCGAAAGUUAUGAAUUUCUGAAGUUCGGGGCGCGAAACCCCAAAACUGUCAGAUGCCACGACGUGGCAAGCAGUGCCACGACGUGGCAAAUCUCCUGUCACCUCCGGAAGGCCCCCAGAUGCAACUUGGGAUGACGCAUGCAGUGACGACCAAGCCCACGACGUGGAACAAGGUUGCCACGACGUGGCAAGGGCCAAAUUUGCCCUAUAAAUAGAUUUGAAGGGCCAGCCGUUUAUGGUUGCUAUUUUCUCUCUUCUCUCUCCCGUUUUACAUCGUUUUGCGUGCCAGAAGUACCCCGAAGCCCCGGUAAUAUCCCCGAGACCCGAAGCAAGUCCCGAGAUCCCGAAGAUCCCGAGAAGUGCGAUUCCCGAGUCGAAGCUCUGCCCGCGAGAAGUUCGAUUUUUGUAGAGAUCUUCCAGAUCUGCUGAGGAUUACUACUUCUGCAAGUCGUAGUGCUGUCCGAUC